Molecule: RNase MRP RNA, 454 nt
Filed under: Macrophomina phaseolina MS6
Lineage: Eukaryota; Fungi; Ascomycota; Dothideomycetes; Botryosphaeriales; Botryosphaeriaceae
Description: RNase MRP
Rfam family: RNase MRP
About the family: RNase MRP is an enzymatically active ribonucleoprotein with two distinct roles in eukaryotes.
Source: Rfam by way of RNAcentral
UCCUCGCCCAAAGAAUCGCAGUCGAAGCUAACGCACGGAGACGCCCUCCGCGGUGUUCUCAUCCAACAAAACGCUUUGGGAGAAAGUCCCCGGACAGCCCCGAACAGGGGACUCCGCGUCAACGCGCCGCCAUAGAAGCAGCGUCGUCUCUUCACUGUUCCCGGUCCUCCUGCGCGCCUUCCACCGUUUGCACUUGGCCACUCCCCUCUUUGCUCACUCGGGCCCCAAGCUGCUCACUACGGAUGAAGAUAUGAGUCCGAGCGGUGCAAGGUUCGGGCUGUUGAGAGAAGGGCUCUGUGGUUGGGGAGGUGUCUGGAUACCGCCUGGGACGCCGUGGUCGCUGGCUUGCCAGUAGCAGUGUCGAGGUUACUUCGUCGAGAAGAUAGUUAUGCGAUUGCCUUCGUCCCCUUUACGGGCCGGAGGUAACUCGAUGGGGCUUAUUCUUGGUGCGAGG